Austrofundulus limnaeus is the source of this 563-nucleotide long non-coding RNA. RefSeq lists it as uncharacterized. NCBI's taxonomy places the organism in Eukaryota, Metazoa, Chordata, Actinopteri, Cyprinodontiformes, Rivulidae. The transcript has 4 exons. The record is from RefSeq and is a predicted model, not a curated record.
CAUCAACUUUAUUAAAUACUGUGAGAACAAAGACGACAUGCUGAAGGUGUGGAGGGGGCGGAGUCUCCUCUGCUCUCAGCUCCACGACAUGAAAGUUUCCAUUCAUGUGUUCAUCUUGUUCCAUACACACCUGCAGCUGGGUCAGCACACACACCUGGGCUCUGAAGUGACAGGAUGCUCAGGAUAUUUUCAAAUUAAAAGACUCAUUUAUGACUGUCCAGAAACAAACAAGAACUUCUUUUCUUCCUGCUGAAGAUUUAUUAUUAGUGUUUCUUGAACACAGGUGACCAGGUAUGUGUCAGGUAUGAGUCAGGUGUGUAUCAGGCAUAAGUCAGGUACAAGUCAGGUGUGUAUCAGGUAUAAGUCAGGUGUGUAUCAGGUAUAAGUCAGGUAUAAGUCAGGUGUGUAUCAGGUAUAAGUCAGGUGUGUAUCAGGUAUAAGUCAGGUAUAAGUCAGGUGUGUAUCAGGUAUAAGUCAGGUAUAAGUCAGGUGUGUAUCAGGUAUAAGUCAGGUAUAAGUCAGGUGUGUAUCAGGUAUAAGUCAGGUGUGUAUCAGGUAUAAGU